This 792-nucleotide long non-coding RNA is filed under the name Bos taurus (domestic cattle). Its description in RNAcentral is "long non-coding RNA NONBTAT006224". Lineage: Eukaryota; Metazoa; Chordata; Mammalia; Artiodactyla; Bovidae. The record is from RNAcentral.
AAAAUGUUAGCCUUUGAAAGUCUAUAUAUGUUUAUUUUAUAUAUAUCUGACUUUAGCUUUUGAAGACUAAAAAGAAAAUAACAUAUACUUGACACUGGACAUCACCAGAUGGUGUCAUUUCUGAGGAAUGUCUACUUUGACUAGUGAGAAGAGCUAAUGUCAAACAGGUAAGCCUUCACCACACUAUUCUUUCAUUUUACACAUAAUAGUGGUGAAAGAAACCAUUUAAGGCAGGUCUACAUUGGCAAUGGGAAAUAAAUUAAGCAGUUAACUGGAAAUAUCAGCAGCUAAUGCUCUUUAGUUCAUUAACAGACAACACUUUUAAAACUGAAUUACUCGACAUAUUUAGACUAUGUAGAUAUGAUGUAGAGAUUUGUAUUACAAGCCUGAAAAGACACUUAAAAAAUACAACUUCAGUGUUUUGUGGUAGAGAAUGCACAGAUCAAAAUGAUUCAAACAGUGAGCUGUUCCACUAAAGGUGUUAUUGCACUGCCUCAGACCUUUUUUUGGCUAGAUAUUGAGUAAGCUGUUUAUAGUUACUUUUGUACCGUGGUCUAUGUAUGUGAUGCCGUAACGUAGUGUAUUGACAUGGUAAGAUGAGACAGUCAUACUGGCAGCUUUAAAAAGCAGUAGACAUAAACAGUCAACACUGAGUUUUUACAUAAGCUACAUAGAGGCAGGUAAUAAAUACAUUUAGUGAGCUGGUUGGGCAGCAUAAUGCUUUAUCUGAGUAUUAUUCAAUAAGCUAGGAACUUGAUUUUUUUAGAAAACAGGUAGGAAUACAGUAUUUGU